RNAcentral lists this ribosomal RNA (253 nucleotides) under uncultured bacterium. Its description in RNAcentral is "partial 16S ribosomal RNA". It matches the Rfam family "Bacterial small subunit ribosomal RNA", at positions 524 to 776 of the family's 1533-position model. The record is from RNAcentral.
UACGGGGGGGGCAAGCGUUGUUCGGAAUUACUGGGCGUAAAGGGCUCGUAGGCGGCCAACUAAGUCAGACGUGAAAUCCCUCGGCUUAACCGGGGAACUGCGUCUGAUACUGGAUGGCUUGAGUUCGUGAGAGGGAUGCGGAAUUCCAGGUGUAGCGGUGAAAUGCGUAGAUAUCAGGAGGAACACCGGUGGCGAAGGCGGGUCUCUGGGCCGAUACUGACGCUGAGGAGCGAAAGCGUGGGGAGCGAACAGG